Molecule: ribosomal RNA, 1486 nt
Filed under: metagenome
Description: bacterial SSU rRNA
Rfam family: Bacterial small subunit ribosomal RNA
Source: RNAcentral
AGAGUUUGAUCCUGGCUCAGGAUGAACGCUAGCUACAGGCUUAACACAUGCAAGUCGAGGGGCAGCAUGGUCUUAGCUUGCUAAGACUGAUGGCGACCGGCGCACGGGUGAGUAACACGUAUCCAACCUGCCGUCUACUCUUGGACAGCCUUCUGAAAGGAAGAUUAAUACAAGAUGGCAUCAUGAGUCCGCAUGUUCACAUGAUUAAAGGUAUUCCGGUAGACGAUGGGGAUGCGUUCCAUUAGAUAGUAGGCGGGGUAACGGCCCACCUAGUCUUCGAUGGAUAGGGGUUCUGAGAGGAAGGUCCCCCACAUUGGAACUGAGACACGGUCCAAACUCCUACGGGAGGCAGCAGUGAGGAAUAUUGGUCAAUGGGCGAGAGCCUGAACCAGCCAAGUAGCGUGAAGGAUGACUGCCCUAUGGGUUGUAAACUUCUUUUAUAAAGGGAUAAAGUCGGGUAUGCAUACCCGUUUGCAUGUACUUUAUGAAUAGGGAUCGGCUAACUCCGUGCCAGCAGCCGCGGUAAUACGGAGGAUCCGAGCGUUAUCCGGAUUUAUUGGGUUUAAAGGGAGCGUAGAUGGAUGUUUAAGUCAGUUGUGAAAGUUUGCGGCUCAACCGUAAAAUUGCAGUUGAUACUGGAUAUCUUGAGUGCAGUUGAGGCAGGCGGAAUUCGUGGUGUAGCGGUGAAAUGCUUAGAUAUCACGAAGAACUCCGAUUGCGAAGGCAGCCUGCUAAGCUGCAACUGACAUUGAGGCUCGAAAGUGUGGGUAUCAAACAGGAUUAGAUACCCUGGUAGUCCACACGGUAAACGAUGAAUACUCGCUGUUUGCGAUAUACGGCAAGCGGCCAAGCGAAAGCGUUAAGUAUUCCACCUGGGGAGUACGCCGGCAACGGUGAAACUCAAAGGAAUUGACGGGGGCCCGCACAAGCGGAGGAACAUGUGGUUUAAUUCGAUGAUACGCGAGGAACCUUACCCGGGCUUAAAUUGCAAAUGAAUUACGGUGAAAGCCGUAAGCCGCAAGGCAUCUGUGAAGGUGCUGCAUGGUUGUCGUCAGCUCGUGCCGUGAGGUGUCGGCUUAAGUGCCAUAACGAGCGCAACCCUUGUUGUCAGUUACUAACAGGUUCUGCUGAGGACUCUGACAAGACUGCCAUCGUAAGAUGUGAGGAAGGUGGGGAUGACGUCAAAUCAGCACGGCCCUUACGUCCGGGGCUACACACGUGUUACAAUGGGGGGUACAGAGGGCCGCUACCACGCGAGUGGAUGCCAAUCCCCAAAACCCCUCUCAGUUCGGACUGGAGUCUGCAACCCGACUCCACGAAGCUGGAUUCGCUAGUAAUCGCGCAUCAGCCACGGCGCGGUGAAUACGUUCCCGGGCCUUGUACACACCGCCCGUCAAGCCAUGGGAGCCGGGGGUACCUGAAGUGCGUAACCGCGAGGAGCGCCCUAGGGUAAAACUGGUGACUGGGGCUAAGUCGUAACAAGGUA